Molecule: ribosomal RNA, 547 nt
Filed under: uncultured Ambispora
Lineage: Eukaryota; Fungi; Glomeromycota; Glomeromycetes; Archaeosporales; Ambisporaceae
Description: SSU rRNA
Rfam family: Eukaryotic small subunit ribosomal RNA
Source: RNAcentral
UUGGAGGGCAAGUCUGGUGCCCGCAGCCGCGGUAAUUCCAGCCCCAAUAGCGUAUAUUAAAGUUGUUGCAGUUAAAGAGCUCGUAGUUGAAUUUUAGGCCUGGCCAGGCGGUCCGUCUUUGGCGAGUACUGUCUUGUUGUCGGGUCUUCCUUCUGGUGAACCAGUAUGUCCUUUAUUGGGUGUGUUGGGGAGCCAGGACCAUUACCUUGAAAAAAUUAGAGUGUUUAAAGCGGGCUAUUGCUUGAAUAGAUUAGCAUGGGCUAAUAGAAUAGGACGUUGUGGUUCUAUUUUGUUGGUUUCUAGGACCACCGUAAUGAUUAAUAGGGAUAGUUGGGGGCAUUAGUAUUCAAUUGUCAGAGGUGAAAUUCUUGGAUUUAUUGAAGACUAACUAUUGCGAAAGCAUUUGCCAAGGAUGUUUUCAUUAAUCAAGAACGAAAGUUAGGGGAUCAAAGACGAUCAGAUACCGUCGUAGUCUUAACCAUAAACUAUGCCGACUAGGAAUCGGGCGUCGUUAUUUUAAUGACUCGUUCGGCGCCUUACGGGAAAC